This 447-nucleotide long non-coding RNA is filed under the name Capsella rubella. Its description in RNAcentral is "long non-coding RNA (CRUB_LNC000849)". The record is from RNAcentral. Lineage: Eukaryota; Viridiplantae; Streptophyta; Magnoliopsida; Brassicales; Brassicaceae.
CGUUUCAAAAAAGCAUCAUCAACAGAUCUUUUGUACCAAUUCCGAAAAAAAACUACCCAACAAUUCAACAAUGAAACCAAACUCCAGCAAAUCCUAACAUGUUUCCAGUUCCAAGGUUCCAGCAUAAUAGUGUAUUGCAUGACCUCACAUACAGCCUUAUAAGGAGCCAUGCCAAUACUUGCCUGGUAGCUAUUGUUUUUUUUUUUUUUCUUUUUUUUGGGACAAACAUCUAAAUUUCAUUAAUUAAAAAGUUUCAACCUCUAUCAGAAGAGGGAAUACAUCCAAAGCAAAGGAAAUAAAGGCAACAAAUGCCAAAAAGACCAUCAAAAAGAUGGUUAAACAAGGGAUAGAUAAGAUACAAAUCAAAGGAAGACAACAUACGAGACCAACAAACAAGUACAAUCUCAGUAGCUUCUUGAUAGAUUGCAUCCUUAAUAACCCGAGGGG